RNAcentral lists this small RNA (153 nucleotides) under Chrysemys picta bellii (western painted turtle). RNAcentral's name for it is "TUC338 (ENSCPBG00000010931.1)". The record is from RNAcentral. Lineage: Eukaryota; Metazoa; Chordata; Testudines; Emydidae.
CUAAGAGCCUGAAGUCCUCUAUCUAUUCACAGAACAAGUACAACACAAGCAGCAUCUUUGUAGCUUCCCCACACUGACACACUGAUGUUCCUCAAGUGAACAACGGAGAACAGAUGUCAUCUCCCAAAAUGGCCAUUUUGUUCUUUUUCUGCU